GAUGAACGCUGGCGGCGUGCUUAACACAUGCAAGUCGAACGAAGCACUUUGAUCGAUUUCUUCGGAUUGAAAUUUUAGUGACUGAGUGGCGGACGGGUGAGUAACGCGUGGGUAACCUGCCCCAGACCGGGGGAUAACAGUCGGAAACGACUGCUAAUACCGCAUAAACGCACAGUGCCGCAUGGCACGGUGUGAAAAACUCCGGUGGUGUGAGAUGGACCCGCGUCUGAUUAGCCAGUUGGCGGGGUAACGGCCCACCAAAGCGACGAUCAGUAGCCGGCCUGAGAGGGUGAACGGCCACAUUGGGACUGAGACACGGCCCAAACUCCUACGGGAGGCAGCAGUGGGGAAUAUUGCACAAUGGGGGAAACCCUGAUGCAGCGACGCCGCGUGAGUGAAGAAGUAUUUCGGUAUGUAAAGCUCUAUCAGCAGGGAAGAAAGUGACGGUACCUGAAUAAGAAGCCCCGGCUAACUACGUG
This 479-nucleotide ribosomal RNA is filed under the name uncultured bacterium. Its description in RNAcentral is "bacterial SSU rRNA". It matches the Rfam family "Bacterial small subunit ribosomal RNA", at positions 28 to 507 of the family's 1533-position model. The record is from RNAcentral.